This 253-nucleotide ribosomal RNA is filed under the name uncultured bacterium. RNAcentral's name for it is "partial 16S ribosomal RNA". It matches the Rfam family "Bacterial small subunit ribosomal RNA", at positions 524 to 776 of the family's 1533-position model. The record is from RNAcentral.
UACGUGGGGUGCGAGCGUUGUUCGGAAUUACUGGGCGUAAAGCGCGUGUAGGCGGCCUAUUAUGUCAGGUGUGUAAGCCCUCGUCCUAACCGAGGAAGUGCGCCUGAAACUGCUAGGCUUGAGUACGAGAGAGGUGGACGGAAUUCCCAGUGUAGAGGUGAAAUUCGUAGAUAUUGGGAUGAACACCGGCGGCGAAAGCGGUUCUCUGGAUCGAUACUGACGCUAAGACGCGAAAGCGUGGGGAGCAAACAGG